AGACAGCAGCCGCCGCGGGAAUACAGAGGGUGCGAGCGUUAAUCGGAUUUACUGGGCGUAAAGCGUGCGUAGGCGGCUUCUUAAGUCGGAUGUGAAAUCCCUGAGCUUAACUUAGGAAUUGCAUUCGAUACUGGGAAGCUAGAGUAUGGGAGAGGAUGGUAGAAUUCCAGGUGUAGCGGUGAAAUGCGUAGAGAUCUGGAGGAAUACCGAUGGCGAAGGCAGCCAUCUGGCCUAAUACUGACGCUGAGGUACGAAAGCAUGGGGAGCAAACAGGAUUAGAUACCCGCGUAGUCCCUGUCUCUUAUUC
This 307-nucleotide ribosomal RNA is filed under the name uncultured bacterium. RNAcentral's name for it is "partial 16S ribosomal RNA". It matches the Rfam family "Bacterial small subunit ribosomal RNA", at positions 506 to 809 of the family's 1533-position model. The record is from RNAcentral.